This 220-nucleotide ribosomal RNA is filed under the name uncultured bacterium. RNAcentral's name for it is "partial 16S ribosomal RNA". It matches the Rfam family "Bacterial small subunit ribosomal RNA", at positions 524 to 743 of the family's 1533-position model. The record is from RNAcentral.
UACGUAGGGUGCAAGCGUUGUCCGGAUUUAUUGGGCGUAAAGAGCUCGUAGGCGGUUUGUCGCGUCGGAUGUGAAAACCCAGGGCUCAACCCUGGGCCUGCAUUCGAUACGGGCAGACUAGAGUAUGGCAGGGGAGACUGGAAUUCCUGGUGUAGCGGUGAAAUGCGCAGAUAUCAGGAGGAACACCGGUGGCGAAGGCGGUUCUCUGGGCAUUACCUGA